RNAcentral lists this ribosomal RNA (497 nucleotides) under uncultured bacterium. RNAcentral describes it as "partial 16S ribosomal RNA". It matches the Rfam family "Bacterial small subunit ribosomal RNA", at positions 28 to 507 of the family's 1533-position model. The record is from RNAcentral.
GAUGAACGCUGGCGGCGUGCCUAAUACAUGCAAGUCGAGCGAACAGACGAGGAGCUUGCUCCUCUGACGUUAGCGGCGGACGGGUGAGUAACACGUGGAUAACCUACCUAUAAGACUGGGAUAACUUCGGGAAACCGGAUCUAAUACCGUAUAAUAUAUUGAACCGCAUGGUUCAAUAGUGAAAGACGGUUUUGCUUUCCCUUAUAGCUGUAUCCGCUCCGCAUUAUCUAGUUGGUAAGGUAACGGCUUACCAAGGCAACGAUGCGUAGCCGACCUGAUAGGGUGAUCGGCCACACUGGAACUGAGACACGGUCCAGACUCCUACGGGAGGCAGCAGUAGGGAAUCUUCCGCAAUGGGCGAAAGCUUGACGGAGCAACGCCGCGUGAGUGAUGAAGGUCUACGGAUCGUAAAACUCUGUUAUUAGGGAAGAAAAAAUGUGUAAGUAACUAUGCACGUAUUGACGGUACCUAAUCAGAAAGCCACGGCUAACUACGUG